Molecule: non-coding RNA, 643 nt
Organism: Paramuricea clavata
Lineage: Eukaryota; Metazoa; Cnidaria; Anthozoa; Malacalcyonacea; Plexauridae
Source: the annotation of a GenBank genome assembly
CGCGAAAUUUGGAUAUUCUUUACAACAGAGCCUUCAGAGGGUUUUCACAUAGCACAUGCGCAGAACAGUCUUGACUCCGUCUUUUUAAAGACGUGCAUAAAAAAAUUUGCAUUAAAUAAAAAGUAAAUUUGCCAAAUGACUAGCAAGUUCAGAAACAUCAAGGGUUAUGGUCAGUUAGGGUCCCUAGGAAAUUUCUGGCUUUAUUUCGCAAGUUCUGUAAGCCUGCAACUCAGUGAGAGCUCAAUGAGUUACAUUAUAUUGCAUGCAUUAUAAAAUAUUUCCAGAUUUGCUAUAAUUAACAACUUUAAAUGUUGAUUAAAUUUCGUUUAUUUUAAAAUCUUCUUUUUACAAAACUAGUCUAUCCAAAUGCAUCAGCUUUUCACCAUAAUUUUAAAGAUUCCUUUUGUUGUGAGCAUCUGUACAUGUAGUCUAGAAAACAAAUAAAAUAAAAACAGUAAUGGAUCCCUCGUUCAUACUGAGUAACAGAGUCGGAUUUGUGCUAUAAGCAGAAUUUGUCUGAUUAAUUAUCGCAUCUCAGAGUUCUUCCAGUUUGAUAAUACUCACAGUAAAGCAUAUUAAGCAGUCGCAGACAUGUGCCGCAUUGUUAUGUGAACAAUGACAAUGUGAACUGAACACAAACGCA